This 74-nucleotide transfer RNA is filed under the name Candidatus Moraniibacteriota bacterium. RNAcentral's name for it is "tRNA-Ala". It matches the Rfam family "tRNA". Rfam says of the family: Transfer RNA (tRNA) molecules are approximately 80 nucleotides in length. Their secondary structure includes four short double-helical elements and three loops (D, anti-codon, and T loops). Lineage: Bacteria; Candidatus Moraniibacteriota. The record is from RNAcentral.
GGGGAUAUAGCUCAGUUGGCUAGAGCGCUUCCAUGGCAUGGAAGAGGUCAAGGGUUCAAAUCCCUUUAUCUCCA